UAUUAAACCUGAUUUAGGCUCAGGAGUCCCCAGCAGUACUGAAAACAGGUCACCUUUAGAAAGAGAUGAGAGCAUCUCAUGAAGGCUGCAGGGUUUCAGUGCAGCAGGGUCUUCUCUUCUGCCUUAGAGGCAAGUCUGAGUUCAGAUGACAUCAAUCACCAACAGAGACAGUGAUCAACAGAAGGAAACAAGCAAGAAACAAGAGUUGCCCUUGACUUCUUGGCCUGAGAACUGGGCAGGACCAAAUGUUCCUGACAGAGAAGUAAUAGGAGCCACAAUUAAAUGCAUCAGCUUCAGAGACACUGGCUAAGUGUAAGAACUGAGAAACAAUCAUGGGUGUUUCAGGGCAGUGCCCCUGCAUGCCUUCCCACCCAUCCCUCAAUUGAUUCUGGGCAGAGGUUCACAUGGGUAGGGAGUAGGAGUGGAUUGAAUGGAAUAGGGAAGGUGAAAUAAAAGAGUUGUAAUACUGAAAGCACUACAGGAAUAUGCAAACACAAAAACAUUCUACCUUUGAGCCUAAAAUCCAACUGGACAUUUGGAAAGUCACUCCAUCAGCGGCCAAGGGACAACCAGAUCUACGCCAGCAGAGGGCGCUGAGGAGAAGGAGAGACGCUCGGCCGCAGAACAGUGUUACUGCCCAGAGCCCACGGGAAGGUGCCCUGAGAAGAGUGCAGGACAGAAGAAAUCAUGUUUACUUAGGGGCUGUUGAAAGCCAUGCAAUGUACACACAACAGUCUAAUGGCAAGGAAAGACCACAGGGCACCGGAGCAAGAGGAUAAGCGAGGCAAACAUGCCCGACACUCAGAGACUCUGCCAGGGAACUGGAGGCCUGUGAAUCCAGGGACCCCGCUGCUGGAGGUUCUGGGAAAGUCUAAUAUAUGGCCAUUCACCAUUGUAGACAGAGACUUCUGAUUGUGCCCAGUCAGUCUGGUAUUGCCGAGAAAACUUUAGUCACACUUUCAUACACAGCCCCUCUGGGGCAGAUCAGAAGAGCUCUCCCUCUCCAUCCAGGAAUGAAACAGGAAUGGAAUAACUGGCCAUGCGGUCCAAGAGAGAGGCAGCCAUGCAGGUGGCUGCAGGAAGAAAGAGUGAAGGCUCCUGUGUGAGGCACGUGGAGCAGAUGGAGCCAUCUGAAUAGGUUUGAGAAGCCACUUCCUAUUCUCUGGCCAAGGAGAAUUAUGGAUUGCAAUGGGGAUACUUGAGCCAGAGCAUGAACAAACAUUAGGAGACAAGCGAGCACUCAAAUGGAGCAGACAGUGAUCAUGGUGAAGAAUUAUCUUGAGAUUCACCGGGGUUUAUCAGAAAGUAAGAAACAUGAGCGGGCAACUGAUUUAAUUGCUAUAAACAAAAAUAAAUAGCAAAGAAGGAACCGGCACACUGAACCAGGACACGACACCACAACAAAAAGCUGGAAGUCGUCUUUCUGAUAUUUUAGUCUCUAACGUCGUGUGCAAGUCUAGAAAGUGUAUUUCUUGGUAUGAGUGAGUACGACGUAAUGGACCGCGUUCCUGCUCGUCUCCGCCCUCUAAACGUGUGGGCUUCCACGGUAAGCCCAACAUCCUCUUCAUUCAGGACCCGGCAGAAGAGUUAAGGGAAGGCGCCGCCAUUUCCCUGAGAAACUGCUUAUUACCAUGAGGACGUGGUUGACGGCGAUUGACAACCCUGCCCACCUGCAUAAACCUUGCCCCUAUUAACACCAGGGGAAAAACCUGUGGGGAGGCCCAUUCUCACUCAUCGCAGCGCGUCUCCAACGCUACUAGCGGACCGCCCUCUAUUCCCUAACCCUUGGGGAAGACCGCCAGGAGCCCCAUCACCCCAUCCAACAGUGCCAGCUCUGUGCUUGUACGCCGCCUAUUUCUUCUACACUCAUCCUCUGGCUGGUGGCGGCAGCAAAUUCCUCCGCAUCUUUGUGAAUGAGGUGAGUGCAAGGGAAGGAGGGAAGGCAAAUUUCUUUGACCAACUGGCAGACGGUCCUUUUUGUCGUCCGCCAGACACUCGCUGAGAUAACGACAUCAAAUAUCACCUGCGAGGCCAGUGAUCAGGUUGCGUAUCACGACAGGUCCCCUGGGGAAGGGUAGGAUGGUGCACAGAGAGACAGAGGGACUCAGCCGCCGCCUGCCUCCAUAUAAAUCUCAAAUUUCUAACUGCAGUGCUGACUUGAAAAGCACAACCUCAAAGGCCGACUAGCAGUCUUCCAGCGGAUGCAGCAUCGCAUGGCGCGGGUGGGGGUGGGGGUGGCUUGAGUGACUGCACAGAAAAGCACAAAGAGAACGAAAUGGGAAAUAGAAAAAGAACAUGUUCUUCUUAGAAAUCUUCUUGUUUGAAUGGGGAAGUCCCUGGUGCAGAAAUGCCUUUGGUGCUGGAGAUAAUCUGGGCCUGCAAGUGCUAAAUUGAUUCACUGUCCUGCAGACACCCAGGGGCUGAAUAUCAAGGAACAAAUGCAUUAAUCACGGCAGAGCCUGCGUGCCAAGGCGCAUAAAGACCACUGCUCCCAGCAGCGGCGAUAGCGUGAACCUUUCCACAGACCACACGCUCCGAAGUCGCUCUCUGAAGUCUUAUUACUGACAGUGUGUGUGGGUUGGGGGAAGGGAGGUGUUGUAUCUGACUUGCCCUGAAACAUGCAUUUAGAAAUAA
Molecule: long non-coding RNA, 2634 nt
Filed under: Equus caballus (horse)
Lineage: Eukaryota; Metazoa; Chordata; Mammalia; Perissodactyla; Equidae
Description: lncRNA (ENSECAG00000057314.1)
Source: RNAcentral